GCUGAUGCCAAAGCAACCACCUGGUCCUUUUCUGAAGUUCCAGGUCCCACUGGGAAAGGGACGGAUUAGUAUGCAUAAAGUCGUGCAGAGGAAGUAAGGCCGAUGAGGCUAUGGAAGUCAAUCUCCAUCCAGUGUGAACCAAGGGGUGUGAUGGGGAGAGACCUCUAGUGGGUUCCCCAGCUCAAGACUCUCAAGAUCAUGAAAAUAAGAACGUGGUCAAAAAUGGCCCAUUCUGUGGCCUUCAUGGACAUAUAAGACCAGCCACCCAGGUUGAACCCGCACUGGAAGAGAAAGGCGACAUGCAAGCUUGUGAAUGUUUUGUCUGAGGCAGGGCGAGUAGCAAGAGUGAAGUGGAACCCACAGUGGAGGGAGCAGAGAAGGUUCCACACUGGAGGUGUGGUUACCGCGGGGACAGGCUCUGUUAAAAAGAGAAAGAUUUCAGAGUUGGCUUCAUCUCAAACGUCUGCGUCUGAUUCACAGACAUCUGUGUCUUCUUGAGAAAUUAUGUUUUCAGAAGCAGAGCUGUCCAACAGAGACAUCAGCCACUUCCUAAGGGGGGAGCUCUCUACAGUAGGCACUCAGGCGUGGUUACUUCUCAGGACUCGGGAGAAGGCAACUCAGCCCUAGGAGACCCUCCCUGAGAUUGGAUGAGGCUCCAUUUAUGACGGAGGUACACAUUGGUCCCCAAUGACAGCUAGUGAGGGCCUGUUAUUUUAUAGUGAGAUGGUUGGAGAUGCAAUGCAAGGCUGUGGGUGUGUUCCAGAGUUCGAUCCAACAGAAGACAUUGAUGUCGGCCUUUGCAACAAGCAUCUAGUGUGCAGAACCCACUCCAAAGCUCAGGGCACGUGAUCGGGCUACAGAGCAGAGCGCAUGUGGAAUGGCAGCGGAGAGCAAGACUCUUCAGACGGAAAGAUGCUGUUGUCCCCACGCUGCCUGGCAUUGUUAUUUAACCAACUG
Molecule: long non-coding RNA, 957 nt
Organism: Tupaia belangeri chinensis (Chinese tree shrew)
Lineage: Eukaryota; Metazoa; Chordata; Mammalia; Scandentia; Tupaiidae
Exons: 5
Source: RefSeq, a predicted model, not a curated record